UACGUAGGGGGCAAGCGUUGUCCGGAUUUAUUGGGCGUAAAGAGCGUGUAGGCGGUUUGGUAGGUCCGCUGUGAAAAUUCGAGGCUCAACCUCGAGACGCCGGUGGAAACCAUCAGACUAGAGUCCGGAAGAGGAGAGUGGAAUUCCUGGUGUAGCGGUGAAAUGCGCAGAUAUCAGGAAGAACACCCGUGGCUAAGGCGGCUCUCUAGUACGGUACUGACGCUGAGACGCGAAAGCGUGGGGAGCGAACAGG
Molecule: ribosomal RNA, 253 nt
Filed under: uncultured bacterium
Lineage: Bacteria
Description: partial 16S ribosomal RNA
Rfam family: Bacterial small subunit ribosomal RNA
Source: RNAcentral